CUGACAUGUGUGCGAGUCAACGGGCGAGUAAACCCGUAAGGCGUAAGGAAGCUGAUUGGUGGGAUCCCCCUGAGGGGUGCACCGCCGACCGACCUUGAUCUUAUGAGAAGGGUUCGAGUGUGAGCAUACCUACUGGGACCCGAAAGAUGGUGACCUAUGCCUGAGCGGGGAGAAGCCAAAGCAUACUCUAGUGGAGGACCAUUGUGAUACUGACGUGCAAAUCGUUCAUCUGACUUGGGUAUAGGGGCGAAAGACUAAUUGAACCAUUUAGCAGCUAG
RNAcentral lists this ribosomal RNA (278 nucleotides) under Solanum tuberosum (potato). RNAcentral describes it as "rRNA LSU_rRNA_eukarya". It matches the Rfam family "Eukaryotic large subunit ribosomal RNA", at positions 675 to 954 of the family's 3401-position model. Lineage: Eukaryota; Viridiplantae; Streptophyta; Magnoliopsida; Solanales; Solanaceae. The record is from RNAcentral.